GCCCCUGUGGUGCAAUGGGUUAGUGUGUUUGCCUGUUAACCAGAAGGCUGGUGGUUCAAGCCUACCCAGGGACA
Podarcis lilfordi (Lilford's wall lizard) is the source of this 74-nucleotide non-coding RNA. Lineage: Eukaryota; Metazoa; Chordata; Lepidosauria; Squamata; Lacertidae. The record is from the annotation of a GenBank genome assembly.